CCUUACCAGGUCUUGACAUCCUCCUGACCGGGACUUAACCGUCCCUUUCCUUCGGGACAGGAGAGACAGGUGGUGCAUGGUUGUCGUCAGCUCGUGUCGUGAGAUGUUGGGUUAAGUCCCGCAACGAGCGCAACCCCUAUCUUCAGUAGCCAGCGGAUCRGCCGGGCACUCUGGAGAGACUGCCAGGGAUAACCUGGAGGAAGGUGGGGACGACGUCAAAUCAUCAUGCCCCUUAUGAUCUGGGCGACACACGUGCUACAAUGGCGGUUACAAAGUGAGGCGAACCCGCGAGGGGGAGCGAACCACAAAAAGGCCGUCCCAGUUCGGACUGUAGUCUGCAACCCGACUACACGAAGCUGGAAUCGCUAGUAAUCGCGAAUCARAAUGUCGCGGUGAAUACGUUCCCGGGUCUUGUA
Molecule: ribosomal RNA, 416 nt
Filed under: uncultured bacterium
Lineage: Bacteria
Description: bacterial SSU rRNA
Rfam family: Bacterial small subunit ribosomal RNA
Source: RNAcentral